CGUUUAUCUGAUUAAUUUAUUUGAGUUUGGGCAGAAAUGUUGGCGAAUAUAAAAUCAUUGCACUUGACUUCUAGAGGAGAUUGUGGAGGGACGGUGAUAUGUGACAGAUCACAUGUGAGAAGAGAUAAAGGCAUUAAAUGAGAGAUGGGCAGCAGAGAGAAAGACUCAAAGUCUAAAGAAUCACUGAAGAUUAUUCGCAGAGACAGCAUGGAGCAAAAACCAAACAUGUUUCUGGAUAUAGACAGACUUGUAGAGUUUCAUUCAGAAUCAGAAACGGUCACAGAUGAGGUCACUUCAGUACAUCUUCAGUACAUUCAGUUCAUCUUCAUCUUCAUCUUCAUCUGUCAUUCAGCAGUCAGUAAUGGAUCAGUAUGUCUCCCUCUGCUGGACACUUGCGUGUAGCACAAGAGGAGGAUUAAAGGGACAGUUAACCAAAAAAAAAAAAAAAAAAAAAAAAAAAAGGAAAAUUCUGUCAUCAUUUACUCACCCUCAAGUUGCUCCAAACCUGAUAUUUUGAAGAACGCUGGUAAGAGAACAGUUUCUGGUACCCACUGACCUCCAUAAUAUGGAAAAAAAAAAUACUAUGGCAGUCAAAGGCUACCAGCAAAUGUUUGGUUGCCAGCAUUCUUCAGAAUACCUGCUUUUGUGUUCAACAGAAGACAGAAACUCAUACAGGUUUGGAAUAACGUGAGGGUGAGUAAAUGAUGAGAGAAUUGUCAUUUUUGGGAGAACUGUCCCUGUAAGUCUUGUGUGUCGGUUCUGAGGGAAUGACAUCAUACAGUACAUGCGUGUAACACUGUAGAUGGUGUUAAACUCUCUGGAUUAUCUGUGGUGUUUUGAAGCUUUUCUGUCAUGUUGUUUGAUCUGAAAGUGGAGCUCAGAACACACUCCACCAGCAUUUCGCACCUUGUUUGAUUUUCUCCUGAUGUUACUUGUUUCAGAGCCUAGAGAAACUAAAGAUAUUUCUGACUGUUCACUGUAACAGCGCAACCGUUGAAUGCUGCUUUACUCCUUUUUUUGUUUAAUUUUUAUUUGUUGUAUUUGUAAGUUUUAUUUGUUUAUAACUUGUACAUAGUUUUUAUAAAAUAAAAACCUCUGUGAGGUGCA
This is a long non-coding RNA of Cyprinus carpio (common carp), 1107 nucleotides long. NCBI's taxonomy places the organism in Eukaryota, Metazoa, Chordata, Actinopteri, Cypriniformes, Cyprinidae. The record is from Ensembl.